UACGUAGGGGGCGAGCGUUACCCGGAUUUACUGGGCGUAAAGGGGGCGUAGGCGGCCGUGAAAGUCCGGUGUGAAAACUCACGGCUCAACCGUGGGACUGCGCUGGAAACUACACGGCUUGAGGACGGUAGAGGGAGACGGAACUGCUGGUGUAGGGGUGAAAUCCGUAGAUAUCAGCAGGAACGCCGGUGGGGAAGCCGGUCUCCUGGGCCGCUCCUGACGCUGAGGCCCGAAAGCUAGGGGAGCAAACCGG
This 253-nucleotide ribosomal RNA is filed under the name uncultured microorganism. RNAcentral describes it as "partial 16S ribosomal RNA". It matches the Rfam family "Bacterial small subunit ribosomal RNA", at positions 524 to 776 of the family's 1533-position model. The record is from RNAcentral.